Molecule: long non-coding RNA, 1246 nt
Filed under: Anas platyrhynchos platyrhynchos (common mallard)
Lineage: Eukaryota; Metazoa; Chordata; Aves; Anseriformes; Anatidae
Description: lncRNA (ENSAPLG00000019797.1)
Source: RNAcentral
UCUUAAUCAGCUUGGAUGUUCUUUGUUGAGCCUGAGUUGAGCUUUAUUUCUGCCUCUUUCUGAAAUGCUUACCUUAAAAGAGAGCCGAAAUACAAAAAGGUAGGCAAGUUUCAGUUGUGCUUUUGCCCAUAAUAUGGAGUUUUAAGUGGCCUCGCUUGACAAGAACAAAUUAAGCAGUUUUCUGAAAAAUGCAGCAUGCAGCUGCUACUGAAAAUCACUGCUCAUGAUUACACCGAAUUCUCUUUUGUAGUGGAUUUUUGCCUGGCUGUCACCUAACUCUAAACAGGACCAUCAAAGGAAAGUUCCACCCCUACUCAUGGCUUGUGGGAUGCUUUUUGAAGUAACGGAGGACUCUUUUUCCUGCAAGACGUGGGCAGCACAUCCUGAAGGCUGUGGGGAGAGGAAGCUCUGCUGCAUGCUGUUUGCAACCUGCACACCUCCAUCAGCCCCAGUGGGCGCUCCCAUCAGCGGUGUGACCAAAGGAUAGGAACACCGUGCCUGUCCUGAGCUCAGGGGUGGCAUGGAAAUGGUACUCCUACAGCUGGGGCAGAGCAGGGCCUCUCCUGGCUACCUGGUGCUGUAGAGCUGCAUGUUCCAGGAGUAAUCACCGCUUUUAUUUUACUGGUGUGUAUGUGACCUUAGAUGCUAAAAGGGUCCUGAGCCUUUAAGCCCCCCAAAUCUCCCCCAUUUUAUGUACUUCCUGGGGUCAGAGGGGGUGCUUGAAUCCUUGAGGUUUUGUCUCUGCGUUUAACUGGUAUACUGCUGGUUUGUGUUCUUGGCACUAAAAACCAAGAGCUGUCAGAAUACAUAUAUGCUGUUCUAAGGUACUCUUUCCUUAAACAGCUGAAAUAGUUCAGCCUGUUUGACCAGACCAGGCUGUGAUAACACUGUUUUACACAAUUUAUUCUGAGCAGCUUUGCUUGCAGUUUUCCUGAUGGAUAACUUUCUCCCUGAAAUGGUACUAAACCCCAUGAAAUACAGCAGAUCUCUAUGAAGAAUUGAGGGACUCUGAUGUUUGCUUAAGUCAAUCUGCAGCAAUUCCAGGCAGGUUGUUCUGAGCUCUCUGAUUUGUACAUUGCAUUUUGAAUGUUUCCUAUUGGUAGCAUUGAGAAGGUUCCUGGUAGUUAAAUCCCCAAUGUGUAAGUGGAAUUAGGGGCCAUUGUAUGCAUCCCAGUUAUCUCUGACUGUUCUAACCUUAUUUGUGUAAAACAAUAAAACACCUAACCAUUAAAAGGAGAUGUGAUUC